Molecule: ribosomal RNA, 476 nt
Filed under: Gemella sanguinis
Lineage: Bacteria; Bacillati; Bacillota; Bacilli; Caryophanales; Gemellaceae
Description: bacterial SSU rRNA
Rfam family: Bacterial small subunit ribosomal RNA
Source: RNAcentral
GACGAACGCUGGCGGCGUGCCUAAUACAUGCAAGUCGAGCGAAGUUUUUCUGGUGCUUGCACUAGAAAAACUUAGCGGCGAACGGGUGAGUAACACGUAAAGAACCUGCCUCAUAGACGGGGACAACUAUUGGAAACGAUAGCUAAUACCGGAUAACAGCAUAAAUCGCAUGAUAUAUGUUUGAAAGUUGGUUUCGGCUAACACUAUGAGAUGGCUUUGCGGUGCAUUAGCUAGUUGGUGGGGUAAAGGCCUACCAAGGCGACGAUGCAUAGCCGACCUGAGAGGGUGAUCGGCCACACUGGGACUGAGACACGGCCCAGACUCCUACGGGAGGCAGCAGUAGGGAAUCUUCCGCAAUGGGCGAAAGCCUGACGGAGCAACGCCGCGUGAGUGAAGAAGGAUUUCGGUUCGUAAAGCUCUGUUGUUAGGGAAGAAUGAUUGUAUAGUAACUAUAUACAGUAGAGACGGUACCUACC